CUGAUGACGCGCCUUCACAAUCGCACCCUAGUGGUGGUUGAUGGUGGAGACGUGCUCCGACCGCGACCCCAUGUCAGGCGGGACUACCCGCUGAGUUUAAGCAUAUCAAUAAGCGGAGGA
Molecule: ribosomal RNA, 120 nt
Filed under: Adenophora trachelioides
Lineage: Eukaryota; Viridiplantae; Streptophyta; Magnoliopsida; Asterales; Campanulaceae
Description: partial 26S ribosomal RNA
Source: RNAcentral